GUUAGGAAUAUUGGACAAUGGGCGCAAGCCUGAUCCAGCCAUGCCGCGUGAGUGAUGAAGGCCUUCGGGUUGUAAAGCUCUUUAGCCGAUGAUUAUAAUGACUGUAGUCGGAAAAUAAGCCCCGGCUAACUUCGUGCCAGCAGCCGCGGUAAUACGAAGGGGGCGAGCGUUAUUCGGAAUCACUGGGCGUAAAGCGUGCGUAGGCGGCUUUGCAAGUUGGGAGUGAAAGCCCAGGGCUAAACCCUGGAAUUGCUCUCAAAACUGCAAGGCUCGAAUUCGGGAGAGGAUAGCGGAAUUGUCAGUGUAGCAGUGAAAUGCGUAGAUAUUGACAGGAACACCAGUGGCGUAAGCGGCUAUCUGGACCGAUAUUGACGCUGAGGCACGAAAGCGUGGGGAUCAAACAGGAUUAGAUACCCGAGUAGUCC
RNAcentral lists this ribosomal RNA (425 nucleotides) under uncultured bacterium. RNAcentral's name for it is "partial 16S ribosomal RNA". It matches the Rfam family "Bacterial small subunit ribosomal RNA", at positions 354 to 796 of the family's 1533-position model. The record is from RNAcentral.